Caenorhabditis elegans is the source of this 88-nucleotide non-coding RNA. The record is from Ensembl. NCBI's taxonomy places the organism in Eukaryota, Metazoa, Nematoda, Chromadorea, Rhabditida, Rhabditidae.
UGUCGGUACUGUGAAGUGGUCUACACAAAACUCAACGGCUCUCAAUCUCACAAGUUAGCUGAACUGUUUGUACAAGGGGCACCAUUCG